Molecule: transfer RNA, 57 nt
Filed under: Panagrellus redivivus
Lineage: Eukaryota; Metazoa; Nematoda; Chromadorea; Rhabditida; Panagrolaimidae
Description: tRNA-Ser
Source: RNAcentral
AGGUUAUUUUAAUAUCUAGUCUUGAAAACUAGAGUGCUCAUUAUAUGAGGUAACCUU